CAGAAAUCUGGUGCAGCUUUUGACACAAUGCUUGGGACGUCUGUUGUCUUGAAUUUUCUGUGGCAGAAGGAUAUAAUUAGUAUUUGCAUAGUCACAUCAGAACACCACUUUCAGAUAGAGUUGCUUAUUAAUGUUACCAGAAUUGAGGAAAGAUAAAUGAUGAGGUCAAGCAAGUAUCUAUACAAAACAAUUCGUUAUAUGAGGAGAGAAUGUGAAUGAGAAUGAACAAGGACACAUGGCAGAAUUUACAUCCUUGCGUGUGCAGAAGCAGCGGAAUGGAAGAAAUAAUUCCCUGGCUUCAGAUUCAAGUUGUUUGGUAUGUGUUCUUGAAACGUCCUCGUUAACAUUAGCUCCCACUGCAGCUCCAAAAGGUAAAGGGAAAAGAAAAAUUAAGUUCUUUUGGAUGCCAAAUGAUAAACUCAUUGAAAUGGAGAUACUGUUAAUUAAGUAUCAUUAUCAGGAGAGUUCUUCUUAAUGAGAAAACAAUUAACAUUGUAUUUUAUUUUUUUAGUAUUGAACAGGUUUAUGACAAAUGAAUAAGGUUUUCAUUUAUUUCUUUGAGUAAAAGAAUUCUUUCAAUUUCUUGA
Molecule: long non-coding RNA, 587 nt
Organism: Hevea brasiliensis (rubber tree)
Lineage: Eukaryota; Viridiplantae; Streptophyta; Magnoliopsida; Malpighiales; Euphorbiaceae
Exons: 2
Source: RefSeq, a predicted model, not a curated record